Molecule: long non-coding RNA, 189 nt
Organism: Glossina fuscipes
Lineage: Eukaryota; Metazoa; Arthropoda; Insecta; Diptera; Glossinidae
Exons: 3
Source: RefSeq, a predicted model, not a curated record
GAUUCAGAAGGUAAUUCUGACUGGAUCGCUAUAAUAAAAGGGUAGGGCGUCAAUUCCCCCUGCGACUUGCAAGUUCACCCCCAGAAAACAGGACUAUCUGCCCGCAAGCGAACAUCAAUUCAGGAAAUGAUUCUUGAGCGCUACAGUGAAAGUCUUUUAAACCUCUCUGGAUUUUGAAAGACUGCUCUU